UUUAAAGCCACUAUAAGACUGUUUAAAGCCACUAUAAGACUGUUUAAAGCCACUAUAAGACUAGGAGCAUGACAUAAACAAAUAACAAUACGACAAGUUGAAUGGAAACAAAAGUUUAUAUCAAUCAGUCACCAGUAAAUAAAAUACAAAGAAACUAUGUACACAUAACAUCAGGAUAAAACACUGCUGGGUGAUGUUUCAAUCAUGAAUUAUUUCAAUGCCACUAACAACCAAAACCUUACAAGAGAAAUCAGAAAACUAUAUAUAUAUCUUCUUGUUUGCAUAACUAUUUCUAAAUGUAUAGAUUAGAGAAUGUUUCCAUCAUCAGCUGGAUUUAAUGUCCUUAUAAAAUAACUCAAGGAAAACAAAACUUCUUUCUCUCCACCCAUGCUUUGAGUUCUAAAAAUAGAAGGAAUAUUGUGGCCAGCACAAUUAUUGGAACAGUGACACAAAUAAAUUGAAAAAAAAAAAAAGUCUAACCAUCAGUUUGGCACUGAGUAUUUUUGACUUACAUAGUGACAGAAAUUUUAAGUAAAUCUAUUUUACAUUGUUUUGUUAGUUUCAAAUUUCUCUACUAUAAUACCCAAACCUCUUAGGCAUGAUUCAACUCUUAGGCUAUUGGGACAUCCAUUAUAAACCAAAAAAAAAACAACCUGAUAAAUUCUAAAGUAAGUAGCAAUUUUACUAAAGAGGUCAAUUUCAAUUGGAUACUAGUGUCCACUGACAUGCUGACUUACACCAGAAGAUUUCAUUGCAUUUAGUUGCUUACAUUUCUAUUUAGUGGAAUGCAAAUUAACAUCACAAAAAGCGCAAUCUAGUGAUUCCCUCAAAAUAAAUACAAGACUAUGGACCUUGACCAACUGUAUAACAUGUAUAGCUUUUACAUUCUCUGUAGGAUACAAACAAUGCUUAAAAUAAAAAGGUAUGCUUUAUUUCAAAUGAAAUGCCAUCUCAGAAUUGGCUUUUUUUUAAAUGGGGUAAGCUACAAAGUGUAAAGUAUCAUGUGACAAAAGAUUUACUUGUAAAUGUAUGAAAUUCCAGUUCAUUAAUGAUGAUCUCUCAAACACCAAAACACCUGGCAACU
This is a non-coding RNA of Biomphalaria pfeifferi, 1084 nucleotides long. The record is from the annotation of a GenBank genome assembly. Lineage: Eukaryota; Metazoa; Mollusca; Gastropoda; Planorbidae.